GUAGAAGCUGCGAAUCAGUCCCUCACAGCGAAACCCCUUCAAAUUGCCGGAAUCUCGAAGCGCCUCCGGUUCGAGCAUACCAGCGUCGAGGAUUUCUGUCAGAAGCCACACAAUAAAUCGGCCUACGAUGCAGUCGUCGCUUCGGAAAUUGUCGAACACGUCGCCGAUCUUCCCGGAUUCAUUGGCUGCCUCGCUGAGCUGGCUCGCCCCGGUGCCCCGCUCUUCAUCACAACUAUCAACAGAACGUGGCUGAGCAAAUUGGCAGCUAUUUGGCUUGCAGAGAAUGUACUCAAAAUCGUGCCGCCCGGAGUCCACGACUGGGAAAAAUUCAUCACACCCGCCGAGCUCACUUCACAUCUCGAAAAAGCGGGUUGCCGGGUGACGGCGGUGCAUGGAUUAAUGUUUCAUCCGGUUGGAAAUCACUGGACAUGGAUCGAAUCGACUCAGUGUAAUUACGGAAUUUUGGCAGUGAAGAAUUAG
This 480-nucleotide unclassified non-coding RNA is filed under the name Caenorhabditis elegans. Its description in RNAcentral is "Non-coding transcript of protein-coding gene coq-3". Lineage: Eukaryota; Metazoa; Nematoda; Chromadorea; Rhabditida; Rhabditidae. The record is from RNAcentral.